RNAcentral lists this ribosomal RNA (263 nucleotides) under uncultured bacterium. Its description in RNAcentral is "partial 16S ribosomal RNA". It matches the Rfam family "Bacterial small subunit ribosomal RNA", at positions 793 to 1055 of the family's 1533-position model. The record is from RNAcentral.
GUCCACGCCGUAAACGAUGUCAACUAGCUGUUGGUUAUAUAAAAUAAUUAGUGGCGCAGCAAACGCGAUAAGUUGACCGCCUGGGGAGUACGGUCGCAAGAUUAAAACUCAAAGGAAUUGACGGGGGCCCGCACAAGCGGUGGAGCAUGUGGUUUAAUUCGAUGCAACGCGAAGAACCUUACCUACCCUUGACAUACAGUGGAGCUUGCAGAGAUGUGAGUGUGCCUUCGGGAACACUGAUACAGGUGCUGCAUGGCUGUCGU